Molecule: ribosomal RNA, 379 nt
Filed under: uncultured eukaryote
Lineage: Eukaryota
Description: partial 18S ribosomal RNA
Rfam family: Eukaryotic small subunit ribosomal RNA
Source: RNAcentral
CAAUAGCGUAUAUUAAAGUUGUUGCGGUUAAAAAGCUCGUAGUUGGAUUUCUGCCGAGGACGUCCGGUCCGCCCUCUGGGUGAGUACAUGGCACGGCCUGGGCAUCUUCUUGGGGAACGUAUCUGCACUUGACUGUGUGGUGCGGUAUCCAGGACUUUUACUUUGAGGAAAUUAGAGUGUUUCAAGCAGGCACACGCCUUGAAUACAUUAGCAUGGAAUAAUAAGAUAGGACCUCGGUUCUAUUUUGUUGGUUUCUAGAGCUGAGGUAAUGAUUAAUAGGGAUAGUUGGGGGCAUUCGUAUUUAACUGUCAGAGGUGAAAUUCUUGGAUUUGUUAAAGACGGAUUACUGCGAAAGCAUUUGCCAAGGAUGUUUNCAUUG